Molecule: long non-coding RNA, 739 nt
Organism: Malaya genurostris
Lineage: Eukaryota; Metazoa; Arthropoda; Insecta; Diptera; Culicidae
Exons: 3
Source: RefSeq, a predicted model, not a curated record
AUUUCGUCGUAUGCUCGUUCGGUUGUUCGUUUGCUGUUUGUUUGUUUUUAUUGGAUUACAUUCUAAUUGCUUCCAGUUGUCAAUCAUUAGCAAUUAUAGUUUAAUUCUAUCGAAUUAAUUUACUAUUUGUAGAUAAAAAACAAUCUAGUGACGCGAUAUUUAGCGCAAAACAUUGAAAUCUUUUGCUUCCAAGAUGUGUUCGACCUGUGGAACUAUCUUUGUAUGCUGUCUCAUAUUCGCGAUCGCGAUCGCUGUCGCUAUCUACUAUGGUGUAUUCAACGUCGAUGACUCAGCUCCCGAGGUAGGGAACUUUAUCAAAAAGACUGGUGAUCAGAUCAAGUAUGGAAUAAAGGAUGGUAUCAAAAAGCUAGACGACUAAUUUCAUUGAAUUUGAACGAUGAGAAUACGAUUACAGAUAUUCACUACAACAGUUCACUUCAAUGGCUUAAAUUAUUACAAAUGAAACGAAACAGAAAAAAACUAUUUUGAUAUUUGUAUUUGUUCUACUAGCAUCACAUCUCGAAUAAAUGGUCGAAGUAUCUCCAAUUGAAUUUUAAAUAAAUCCUCGACGCUAGGUAGAUAUUAAAUUAUCUUAAUUAUUCAUAAAUACGAAACCAGUCUACAAGUAUGAGACAUUUUUGUCUCCAUUUAAACCCACCCAAACGGCGUGAAUCAAUCGCGAUAUUUUAAAAAUGUUUAUAUAAACAUAUGUGAAAAUAAACCGAGCCCUUUACUUUUA